Molecule: ribosomal RNA, 468 nt
Filed under: uncultured bacterium
Lineage: Bacteria
Description: partial 16S ribosomal RNA
Rfam family: Bacterial small subunit ribosomal RNA
Source: RNAcentral
GACGAACGCUGGCGGCGUGCCUAACACAUGCAAGUCGAACGGAAAGGCCCUGCUUUUGUGGGGUGCUCGAGUGGCGAACGGGUGAGUAACACGUGAGUAACCUGCCCUUGACUUUGGGACAACUUCAGGAAACCGGGGCUAAUACCGGAUAGGAGCUCCUGCUGCAUGGGGGGGGUUGGAAAGUUUCGGCGGAUGGGGAUGGACGCGCGGCUUAUCAGCUUGUGGGUGGGGUAGUGGCUUACCAAGGCUUUGACGGGUAGCCGGCCUGAGAGGGUGGCCGGCCACAUUGGGACUGAGAUACGGCCCAGACUCCUACGGGAGGCAGCGGUGGGGAGUAUUGCACAAUGGGCGGAAGCCUGAUGCGACAGCGCCGCGUGCGGGAUGACGGCCUUCGGGUUGUAAACCGCUUUCGCCUGUGACGAAGCGUGAGUGACGGUAAUGGGUGAAGAAGCACCGGCUAACUACGUG